UUUUUGCAUAUCAAUAAGCGGAGGAAAAGAAACCAACAGGGAUUGCCUCAGUAACGGCGAGUGAAGCGGCAAAAGCUCAAAUUUGAAACCCUCGGGAUUGUAAUUUGAAUGAUUUGGCAUUGGAGAAAGCUAACCCAAGUUACUUGGAAUAGUACGUCAUAGAGGGUGACAACCCCGUCUGGCUAACCGUUCUCCAUGUAUUGCCUUAUCAAAGAGUCGAGUUGUUUGGGAAUGCAGCUCAAAGUGGGUGGUAAACUCCAUCUAAAGCUAAAUACUGGUGAGAGACCGAUAGCGAACAAGUACUGUGAAGGAAAGGUGAAAAGAACUUUGAAAAGAGAGUGAAAUAGUAUGUGAAAUUGUUGAUAGGGAAGGAAAUGAGUGGAGAGUGGUUUAGGUUUCAGCCUUCUUUCGAGGGGGUGCACUACCAACGCCGAGUCAUUGAUAGCGAGACAGGGGUUAUAAACGGACGGCACUUGUGCUAUUCUCCUAACCCCUCUACUGCCACCAACGACAUAAUCCACCCAUUUCACCCGUCUUGAAACACGGACCAAAAAAA
Molecule: ribosomal RNA, 556 nt
Filed under: Yarrowia deformans
Lineage: Eukaryota; Fungi; Ascomycota; Dipodascomycetes; Dipodascales
Description: eukaryotic LSU rRNA
Rfam family: Eukaryotic large subunit ribosomal RNA
Source: RNAcentral